GUUUUUUUUUUUUUUUUUUUUUUUUUUUG
RNAcentral lists this non-coding RNA (29 nucleotides) under Prorocentrum micans. Lineage: Eukaryota; Dinophyceae; Prorocentrales; Prorocentraceae. The record is from RNAcentral.